RNAcentral lists this long non-coding RNA (358 nucleotides) under Jatropha curcas. RNAcentral's name for it is "long non-coding RNA (JCUR_LNC001512)". Lineage: Eukaryota; Viridiplantae; Streptophyta; Magnoliopsida; Malpighiales; Euphorbiaceae. The record is from RNAcentral.
UUUUUUUUACUUUAGUCUGAAUUAAUAGCUAAUUUAAUGGGUAAGCAUGAAUAAGGAGAUUUUAGUUUAGAAAUAAGUAUAGCGUGAGGGUGGCAGCAACCAAUAUUGUUAAUUGGUUGAGCUAUUGUUGAACUAUAAACCAAAUGAAGUCGUGAAUUAAAUUCUUAGUGCGGUAAGCAUAGUAUAUAAGUUUAAGCAAGGGAGAACCUAGUGUUUCAUGGGCAGUAGCUAUUACAGAUAAUUGAUACCAUUUUAUAUAUAAACUAAUGUAAUAAUGGACGUACAUAUAUUUUCAAUGUUUUUAUAUGAUUAGUAUUGGUUAUAUCUAGAAAGGGAAUUUUUAUGUCAAGAUGGAGAA